RNAcentral lists this ribosomal RNA (240 nucleotides) under Eurythenes sp. Abyssal form. RNAcentral describes it as "partial 16S ribosomal RNA". The record is from RNAcentral. Lineage: Eukaryota; Metazoa; Arthropoda; Malacostraca; Amphipoda; Lysianassidae.
CCCUAAAAGCUUUAUUUUUAAUAUAGGUUUGAGUUUAAAAUUAAAUAGAGAGUUUAACUGGGGUAGUUUUUUUGUAAAAUCUGAGGUUGUAAAAGGCACGUAAAGUGGGGUUUGGUCCUUUAGAUAAGGAUAAUUUGAGUGAGUUACUUUAGGGAUAACAGCGUAAUAGCCCUGGGGAGAUCGUAUCUAUGGGGUUGAUUGCGACCUCGAUGUUGAAUUAAAAGCUCAAUGUAGAGUAGA